GACAGAGGCCACAAGCGUUAUGCGGAAUCACUGGGCUUAAAGCGCGUGUAGGCGGAUUCCUAAGUGCCUUGUGAAAUCCCACGGCUUAACCGUGGAACUGCUGGGCAUACUGGGUGUCUUGAGGUGUCUAGGGGUCGCUGGAACAAACGGUGGAGCGGUGAAAUGCGUAGAUAUCGUGUGGAACGCCAAAGGUGAAAACAGGUAGCUGGGAGUGUGCUGACGCUGAGACACGAAAGCCAGGGGAGCGAACGGG
RNAcentral lists this ribosomal RNA (253 nucleotides) under uncultured bacterium. RNAcentral's name for it is "partial 16S ribosomal RNA". It matches the Rfam family "Bacterial small subunit ribosomal RNA", at positions 524 to 776 of the family's 1533-position model. The record is from RNAcentral.